Molecule: ribosomal RNA, 450 nt
Filed under: uncultured bacterium
Lineage: Bacteria
Description: partial 16S ribosomal RNA
Rfam family: Bacterial small subunit ribosomal RNA
Source: RNAcentral
GUGGGGAAUCUUCCGCAAUGGACGAAAGUCUGACGGAGCAACGCCGCGUGAGUGAAGAAGGUUUUCGGAUCGUAAAGCUCUUUCGCUAGGGACGAACGUGCUCUUUGUGAAUAAUGAGGAGUAAUGACGGUACCUAAAUAAGAAGCCACGGCUAACUACGUGCCAGCAGCCGCGGUAAUACGUAGGUGGCAAGCGUUGUCCGGAAUUAUUGGGCGUAAAGCGCGCGCAGGCGGGAUAUUAAGUCUGUCUUAAAAGGUCGAGGCUCAACCUCGUGAGGGGACAGAAACUUGUAUUCUUGAGUGUCGGAGAGGAAAGUGGAAUUCCAAGUGUAGCGGUGAAAUGCGUAGAGAUUUGGAAGAACACCAGUGGCGAAGGCGACUUUCUGGACGAUGUCUGACGCUGAGGCGCGAAAGCUAGGGGAGCGAACGGGAUUAGAAACCCUGGUAGUCC